AUACCUUUCUCGGCCUUUUGACCAAGAUCAAAUGUAGUAUCUGUUCCUUAUCAGUUUAAUAUCUGAUAUGUGAGUCAUCGAUUCACACGAUAUUAACUCUAUUUUUAAGGGGGAGGUUCACCAUGGUAGCUUGCUAUUGGGACCUUCAUGAAUGGCCUUGGUGUUGCACUACUGCCUCGGCCUGGCUCAUCUCAC
Solanum pennellii is the source of this 195-nucleotide small nuclear RNA. RefSeq annotates it as U2 spliceosomal RNA. The record is from RefSeq and is a predicted model, not a curated record. The transcript has a single exon. Lineage: Eukaryota; Viridiplantae; Streptophyta; Magnoliopsida; Solanales; Solanaceae.